GUGAGGAAUUUUCCGCAAUGGGCGAAAGCCUGACGGAGCAAAGCCGCGUGAAGGAUGAAGGCCUAUGGGUUGUAAACUUCUUUUCUCAGAAAAGAAUUAUGACGGUAUCUGAGGAAUAAGCAUCGGCUAACUCUGUGCCAGCAGCCGCGGUAAGACAGAGGAUGCAAGCGUUAUCCGGAAUGAUUGGGCGUAAAGCGUCUGUAGGUUGUUUAAAAAGUAUUCUGUCAAAGAUUAGGGCUUAACCCUAGAUAGGCAGAAUAAACUUUUAAGCUAGAGUUUGGUAGAGGCAGAGGGAAUUCCCGGUGGAGCGGUGAAAUGCGUAGAUAUCGGGAGGAACACCAAAGGCGAAGGCACUCUGCUGGGCCAAUACUAACACUGAGAGACGAAAGCGAGGGGAGCAAAUGGGAUUAGAUACCCGAGUAGUCC
This 426-nucleotide ribosomal RNA is filed under the name uncultured bacterium. RNAcentral describes it as "partial 16S ribosomal RNA". It matches the Rfam family "Bacterial small subunit ribosomal RNA", at positions 354 to 796 of the family's 1533-position model. The record is from RNAcentral.